This 586-nucleotide ribosomal RNA is filed under the name uncultured bacterium. Its description in RNAcentral is "partial 16S ribosomal RNA". It matches the Rfam family "Bacterial small subunit ribosomal RNA", at positions 355 to 1375 of the family's 1533-position model. The record is from RNAcentral.
UGGGGAAUUUUGGACAAUGGGCGAAAGCCUGAUCCAGCAAUGCCGCGUGUGUGAAGAAGGCCUUCGGGCUGUAAAGCACUUUUGUCCGGAAAGAAAUCCUUGGCUCUAAUACAGUCGGGGGAUGACGGUACCGGAAGAAUAAGCACCGGCUAACUACGUGCCAGCAGCCGCGGUAAUACGUAGGGUGCAAGCGUUAAUCGGAAUUACUGGGCGUAAAGCGUGCGCAGGCGGUUUGCUAAGACCGAUGUGAAAUCCCCGGGCUCAACCUGGGAACUGCAUUGGUGACUGGCAGGCUAGAGUAUGGCAGAGGGGGGUAGAAUUCCACGUGUAGCAGUGAAAUGCGUAGAGAUGUGGAGGAAUACCGAUGGCGAAGGCAGCCCCUGGGCCCAAUGACUGACGCUCAUGCACGAAAGCGUGGGGAGCAAACAGGAUUAGAUACCCUGGUAGUCCACGCCCUAAACGAUGUCAACUAGUUGUUGGGGAUUCAUUUCCUUAGUAACGUAGCUAACGCGUGAAGUUGACCGCCUGGGGAGUACGGUCGCAAGAUUAAAACUCAAAGGAAUUGACGGGGUCAUAGCUGUUUCCU